UCAGGAUGAACGCUAGCGGCAGGCCUAACACAUGCAAGUCGAGGGGUAAGUCCCGACUUGUCGGGAACACGACCGGCGAACGGGUGAGUAACACGUUUGCAACCUACCCUUAACUGGAGAAUAGCUCCCGGAAACGGGAAUUAAUGCUCCAUAAUAUUCAGACAGGGCAUCCUGACUGAAUCAAAGUUCCGGCGGUUAAGGAUGGGCAUGCGUGACAUUAGCUAGUUGGUGAGGUAACUGCUCACCAAGGCAACGAUGUCUAGGGGGUCUGAGAGGAUGGUCCCCCACACUGGUACUGAGAUACGGACCAGACUCCUACGGGAGGCAGCAGUGAGGAAUAUUGGGCAAUGGACGCAAGUCUGACCCAGCCAUGCCGCGUGCAGGAUGACAGCCCUAUGGGUUGUAAACUGCUUUUGUACAGGAAGAAACACUCCGACGUGUCGGAAUUUGACGGUACUGUACGAAUAAGCAUCGGCUAACUCCGUGCCAGCAGCCGCGGUAAUACGGAGGAUGCAAGCGUUAUCCGGAUUUAUUGGGUUUAAAGGGUGUGUAGGCGGGAUAGUAAGUCAGUGGUGAAAUCUUUCGGCUUAACCGGAAAAUUGCCAUUGAUACUGUUAUCCUUGAGUAUAGUUGAGGUGGGCGGAAUGUGUAAUGUAGCGGUGAAAUGCAUAGAUAUUACACAGAACACCAAUUGCGAAGGCAGCUCACUAAACUAUCACUGACGCUGAGGCACGAAAGCGUGGGGAGCGAACAGGAUUAGAUACCCUGGUAGUCCACGCUGUAAACGAUGAAUACUCGAUGUGUGCGACAUAUUGUACGCGUCUGAGCGAAAGCAUUAAGUAUUCCACCUGGGGAGUACGGUCGCAAGAUUGAAACUCAAAGGAAUUGACGGGGGCCCGCACAAGCGGAGGAACAUGUGGUUUAAUUCGAUGAUACGCGAGGAACCUUACCUGGGCUUAAAUGCAGAACGACGUUCCGGGAAACCGGAAUUCCCUUCGGGGCGGUCUGCAAGGUGCUGCAUGGCUGUCGUCAGCUCGUGCCGUGAGGUGUCGGGUUAAGUCCCAUAACGAGCGCAACCCCUAUUGUUAGUUGCCAGCGGGUAAUGCCGGGGACUCUAACGAAACUGCCAGUGUACACUGUGAGGAAGGUGGGGAUGACGUCAAGUCAGCACGGCCCUUAUGUCCAGGGCUACACACGUGUUACAAUGGCCGGUACAGAGGGCAGCUACCAGGCGACUGGAUGCAAAUCUCGAAAACCGGUCUCAGUUCGGAUCGAAGUCUGCAACCCGACUUCGUGAAGAUGGAUUCGCUAGUAAUCGCGCAUCAGCCACGGCGCGGUGAUACGUUCCCGGGCCUUGUACACACCGCCCGUCAAGCCAUGGAAGCUGGGGGUACCUAAAGUCCGUAACCGAAAGGAUCGGCCUAGG
Molecule: ribosomal RNA, 1426 nt
Filed under: uncultured organism
Description: bacterial SSU rRNA
Rfam family: Bacterial small subunit ribosomal RNA
Source: RNAcentral